UACGAAGGGGGCUAGCGUUGUUCGGAAUCACUGGGCGUAAAGCGCACGUAGGCGGAUCUUUAAGUCAGGGGUGAAAUCCCGGAGCUCAACUCCGGAACUGCCUUUGAUACUGGUAAUCUAGAGAUCGGAAGAGGUUAGUGGAAUUCCCAGUGUAGAGGUGAAAUUCGUAGAUAUUGGGAAGAACACCAGUGGCGAAGGCGGCUAACUGGUCCGAUACUGACGCUGAGGUGCGAAAGCGUGGGGAGCAAACAGG
This 253-nucleotide ribosomal RNA is filed under the name uncultured bacterium. RNAcentral describes it as "partial 16S ribosomal RNA". It matches the Rfam family "Bacterial small subunit ribosomal RNA", at positions 524 to 776 of the family's 1533-position model. The record is from RNAcentral.